This is a small nuclear RNA of Magnolia sinica, 196 nucleotides long. RefSeq annotates it as U2 spliceosomal RNA. Lineage: Eukaryota; Viridiplantae; Streptophyta; Magnoliopsida; Magnoliales; Magnoliaceae. The transcript has a single exon. The record is from RefSeq and is a predicted model, not a curated record.
ACCUUUCUCUUGGCCUUUUGGUUAAGAUCAAGUGUAGUAUCUGUUCUAAUCAGUUUAAUAUCUGAUACAUAGCCCAUCAUGUCACAUGAUAUUAAAUUAAUUUAUUGUGGGGAAUGGCCAACUGCAGCAGCUUGUGGCUGGUGUCCAUCGCGUGUUGUCCAUGCAUUGCGAAAGAAAAAGGAAAAUGACAGGUUUU